This 827-nucleotide long non-coding RNA is filed under the name Cavia porcellus (domestic guinea pig). Its description in RNAcentral is "lncRNA (ENSCPOG00000035671.1)". The record is from RNAcentral. Lineage: Eukaryota; Metazoa; Chordata; Mammalia; Rodentia; Caviidae.
AAAGGAGCUUGUGGGUGCCACUGCAUUUGGUUCUCAGUGACUGUUCUCUGUCUAGUCUCACUUUCCUAUUUUCUACUUUCUUAUUUUUACUCUAUUUUUGAUGAGCUGUUAUUACCCUUUGUUUGGUGGUUUCGUUAUCUUUUGUUCGGUGAUCUCCUCUCACCUCAUACUUGGUUUGUUUCUUUUACAGGCUCUUUCCUUGUCUUCUUUCACUCUCUGCUGUGCACAUCUUUCAUCCUUCUCUUCUUCUGCAUCUUCUCCCAGGGCCAAAGUUCCAUAGCACUCUGAUUAUCCACAUGACAGUAAUUUCUGUAUUAGCACCAGUUACUCUGGUCAGCCCUUGUGCACUUUGAGGAGAAGCAAGCCUGGGCCUGUCUGAUCCACCCACAUGUGAUCUUUUCACAUGAUCCACCCACAUUCUACAAGCAAACCAGUAAACCUUUGGCAUGAACACUCUGAUGAGCACGCUUCAGCUUUCACAGCAACAACACCCAUUGCCCCAGAAGAAGAAAGAAGAGAAAAAAAGAGCUCACAGCACAGCAUCUGGGCUGAAUUAAAUCAGGCUACAAAAGUAUCCAGGCAACUGAGUCCAGCGCGCUGCCAGAGAUCCAGGGCUAUCAUUUUGUCUCUUGCCUCAUUUUUAUCCUCCUUCAAGCAAAAAAAGACUUUUAAGAAGAUGAGGGAUAAUGAUCAUUGGAUCGAGCAUCUGAUGGCCGUGGCAGAUUAAAUGAGGAGGGCAGAAUCCUCCAUGAUGCAUCUGACUCCAGAUUGGAACAGAGCACUGCUGGCUCCUCUCAGACUUAAAAGUUUUCUUUGCCUGCUUGCCU